AUGGAAAAGGGGGAGAAAAAAGGAACAGAAAAGAGGGGAAAAAGUGGAAAAGGAAAGAAAAGAAAAUGGGUAAAUCGAAAUGGGGGAAAAGGGGGAAAAUGGGAAAAAAUCAAGGAGAAAAUUGGAAAAGGAGGAAAAAAGAGUGGGGAAAUAAAAAAGGGAAAAAUGGAAAUGGGAGGAGAAAAGGAAAAUGGGAGAAAGAAAAUAGAAAAGGGGAAAAGAGGGAAAAAGAAGAGAAAGCAAAUGGGAAAAAAUGAAAAAGGAGGGAAAAACCCCAACCCAAGCAAGCCCAGAGGGGCUGGAAAGGGCAGAGCUUUGAUUUGGGUUCAAAACCCCCAGUUUGGGGUUCAGAGUCCCAGUUUGGGUUUGAAAUUGCUCCAGGUUGGGGUUCCAAGCCCCAGUUUGGGGUUCCAAGCCCCAGUUUGGGGUUCUGAACCCUGUUUUGGGGUUCAAAUCCCAGUUUGGGGUUUUCUUAGCCCAAGUUUGGGGUUCCAAACCUCAGUUUGGGAUUCCAAGCCCAGUUUGGGGCUCCAAAAUCCAUUUUGAGAUUCCAAGCCCCACUUUGGGGUUCUGAGCUCAAUUUAGGAUUCCAAACCCCAGUUUGGGAUUCCAAACCCCAUUUCUGGGGUUCCAAGCCCCAUUUUGGGGUUCCAAACCCCAUUUUGGGAUUCCAAACCCCAUUUUUGGGAUUCCAAGCCCGUUAAGGGUUCAAAGUCCCUUUUUGGGGUUCCAAGCCCCAUUCUGGGGUUCCAAGCCCAGUCUGGGUUGGUUCCGGCGCUGGGGGGGGUCGGGGUACCCCAAAAGGGGCUCUGGGACCCCCCGAGCGCGGUGGGGGGGGGGAUCCCCAAA
Molecule: long non-coding RNA, 849 nt
Filed under: Junco hyemalis (dark-eyed junco)
Lineage: Eukaryota; Metazoa; Chordata; Aves; Passeriformes; Passerellidae
Description: lncRNA (ENSJHYG00000006142.1)
Source: RNAcentral